GUGACCAUAGAAAUGCUUUCUUGGUAUCAAAGGGAUCUGCUUCUCUUUGCAGUUCCCCUCCUCAGAGGCCGGGCUGGGAACAGCGGGGUUUGGCACGGUCCUCUCAUCCUGCUUUUCUUCUUCAGUAACUACUUUGGCUGACUUCUUUCCAACUCCUUUCUCGAAAUCCCCACCAGUCCUGACGCAGACCCUCCGUGGCUGGUGGAUGCCAAGUAUCAUUUGGAGAUGGCUGGGGAUGUGCAGAUUUCUCACUUGAGCUGCUUAUGCAGGGUCUGCACCGUCCUGACAGCAAUCGAAGGACUUGGCCACCACUGCGGAGCUCCAGUCUGGUGCUGGCGUGAAUGCUCAGCACCCAGACGAGCUGCUUUCAUCCUGGAAACCCUUCCUGAGCCCCUGGGAAGCAUCUGGCACUGUUCUAGCUGCGGAGGAUGCAGCAGUGAAGACGUCCAAAGUCCCUGCCCUUGAGCUGUAAGUGGGGCAGGGAGGGGGGCAGCCCGUGCCAGAGAGUCACAUGUGAAGAGCACUGCUUCUGGCCUCAGAGUGUGCUCCAGACAGCAGCAGGGCACCAUCCUGGAACCCACUGGACAGGCAAGCUCUCACCCCGCCCACCCCAGCCUGGUGAAAUCCCAGUGUGCGGGCGAUUUCUAUUUCUAUUUCAAUGGAGUCUGGUAAGCAGCAGGACUGGAGUUUUUGACCAAGUGCAGAGUAAAGCUCCGUCCCUCAGUCUGAGCUUAUCAAUCCAGGGUUAUUCCCCUUUCUUGGAGAUGAGAAGGGGGUUGGGGUAGACACACAGCACUUCCUUCCCUGGGAAAGGUAUAUAUUUGAGCAGAAUUAUU
RNAcentral lists this long non-coding RNA (836 nucleotides) under Ictidomys tridecemlineatus (thirteen-lined ground squirrel). Its description in RNAcentral is "lncRNA (ENSSTOG00000034299.1)". Lineage: Eukaryota; Metazoa; Chordata; Mammalia; Rodentia; Sciuridae. The record is from RNAcentral.